RNAcentral lists this ribosomal RNA (432 nucleotides) under uncultured bacterium. RNAcentral's name for it is "partial 16S ribosomal RNA". It matches the Rfam family "Bacterial small subunit ribosomal RNA", at positions 29 to 507 of the family's 1533-position model. The record is from RNAcentral.
GCGAACGCUGGCGGCCGGCCUAACCCAUGCACGUCGAACGGAUCCUUCGGGAUUAGUGGCGGACGGGUGAGUAACACGUGGGAACGUGCCCUUUGGUUCGGAACAACUCAGGGAAACUUGAGCUAAUACCGGAUGUGCCCUUCGGGGGAAAGAUUUAUCGCCAUUGGAGCGGCCCGCGUCUGAUUAGCUAGUUGGUGAGGUAACGGCCCACCAAGGCGACGAUCAGUAGCUGGUCUGAGAGGAUGAUCAGCCACACUGGGACUGAGACACGGCCCAGACCCCUACGGGAGGCAGCAGUGGGGAAUCUUGCGCAAUGGGCGAAAGCCUGACGCAGCCAUGCCGCGUGAAUGAUGAAGGUCUUAGGAUUGUAAAAUUCUUUCAGCGGGGACGAUAAUGACGGUACCCGCAGAAGAAGCUCCGGCUAACUUCGUG